UUGGGUUCUGGGGUUCUGGUGGGUUCUGGUGGGGUUUGGUUUGGUUCUCCAAGGGUUUUGUUGAGUUCUGGUGGGAUUCCAUUGGGUUCUUGUUGGGUUUUGGUGGGUUCUCCAAGGGUUCCAUUGGGUUCUGGUGGGGUUUGGUUGGGUUCUCCAAGGGUUUCGUUGAGUUCUGGUUGGGUUCCAUUGGGUUCUGGGGUUCUGGUGGGUUCUGGUGGGGUUUGGUUUGGUUCUCCAAGGGUUCUGGUGGGUUCUGGUGGGGUUCCAUUGAGUUCUGGUGGGGUUCUGGUGGGUUCUGGUGGGGUUUGGUUUGGUUCUCCAAGGGUUCUGGUGGGUUCUGGUUGGGUUUCGUUGGGUUCUCCAAGGGUUUCGUUGAGUUCUGGUGGGAUUCCAUUGGGCUCUUGUUGGGUCUCGUUGGGUUCUGGUGGGGUUCUGGUGGGUUCUCCAAGGGUUCUGGUGGGUUCUGGUGGGGUUCUGGUGGGGUCUGGUUGGGUUCUGGUGGGUUCUCCAAGGGUUCCAUUGGGUUCUGAGCUUUGGUUGGGUUCUGGUGGGGUUCCGUUGGGUUCUCCAAGGGUUCCAUUGGGUUCUGGGGUUCUGGUGGGUUCUCCAAGGGUUCCGUUGGGUUCUCCAAGGGUUCCAUUGGGUUCUGGUUGGGUUCUGGUGGGUUCUGGUGGGGUUCUGGUGGGUUCUGGUGGGGUUCUGGUGGGUUCUCCAAGGGUUCCGUUGAGUUCCGGUUGGGUCCCGUUGACUUUUCCCACAAUUCCAUUGGGUUUUCCAA
RNAcentral lists this long non-coding RNA (778 nucleotides) under Parus major (Great Tit). Its description in RNAcentral is "lncRNA (ENSPMJG00000004618.1)". The record is from RNAcentral. Lineage: Eukaryota; Metazoa; Chordata; Aves; Passeriformes; Paridae.